GGUUAAAAAGCUCGUAGUUGGAUUUCUGUCGAAGACGGUCGGUCCGCUCUAUGAGCGUGUAUCUGAUUCGGCUUUGGCAUCCUCGUGGGGAACGUAACUGUGCUUGAUUGCAUGGUGCGGAAUUCACGACUUUUACUUUGAGGAAAUUAGAGUGUUCACGGCUGGCAAGCGCCUUGAAUACAUUAGCAUGGAAUAAUAAUAUAGGACUUUGGUUCUAUUUUGUUGGUUUCUAGGACUAAAGUAAUGAUUAAUAGGGAUAAUUGGGGGCAUUUGUAUUAACGCGUCAGAGGUGGAAUUCUUGGAUUGCGUUACGACAAACUACUGCGAAAGCAUUUGCCAAGGAUGUUUUCAUUGAUCAAGAACGAAAGUAUGGGGAUCGAAGAUGAUUAGGUACCGUCGUAGUCUAUACCAUAAACUAUGCCGACUAGAGAUUGGAGGUAGUUCUUUUUAUGACUCCUUCAGCACCUUAUGAGAAAUCAAAGUCUUUGGGUUCCGGGGGGAGUAUGGUCGCAAGGCUGAAACUUAAAGGAAUUGACGGAAGGGCACCACCAGGAGUGGAGCCUGCGGCUUAAUUUGACUCAACACGGGAAAACUCACCAGGUCCAGACAUAGUAAAGAUUGACAGAUUGAUAGCUCUUUCU
RNAcentral lists this ribosomal RNA (641 nucleotides) under uncultured marine eukaryote. RNAcentral's name for it is "SSU rRNA". It matches the Rfam family "Eukaryotic small subunit ribosomal RNA", at positions 617 to 1262 of the family's 1831-position model. The record is from RNAcentral.